This 1259-nucleotide ribosomal RNA is filed under the name metagenome. RNAcentral's name for it is "SSU rRNA". It matches the Rfam family "Eukaryotic small subunit ribosomal RNA", at positions 477 to 1759 of the family's 1831-position model. The record is from RNAcentral.
ACCAAGGUGAGGCCCUAUGGGUUUCGCCAUUGGAAUGAGAACUAUAUAAAUCUUUUAACGAGUAACAAGUGGAGGGCAAGUCUGGUGCCAGCAGCCGCGGUAAUUCCAGCUCCACAAGUGUAUUCCUAUAUUGUUGCGGUUAAAAAGCUCGUAGUUGGAUCUGAGUGCUUAGCGGGUGGUACAGUGUUUCACUGUCACUGCUUCGCGGCACAUAACCGUCGACUGGCUGCUGUUGUUGCCUUCACCGGUGACGGCAGUUAGCUAUCGACAUGUUUUACUUUGAACAAAUCAGAGUGCUCAAAACAGGCGUUUCGCUUGUAUGUUUUUGCAUGGAAUAAUAGAAUAGGACCUUGGGUCUAUUUUGUUGGUUUUCGGAAUCAAGGUAAUGAUUAAGAGGGACAGACGGGGGCAUUCGUACUGCAACGGGAGAGGUGAAAUUCUUGGAUCGUUGCAAGACGAACUACUGCGAAAGCAUUUGCCAAGAAUGUUUUCAUUAAUCAAGAACGAAAGUAACGGGUUCGAAGGCGAUCAGAUACCGCCCUAGUCGUUACCGUAAACGAUUGUAACCGGGAGCUAGCAGGCGCUUUACUAUGGCUCUGCUAGAACCCACCCGGAAACGAAGAGUUUUCGAUAUCCGGGGGAAGUAUACUUGCAAAUGUGAAACUUAAAGGAAUUGACGGAAGGGCACCACCAGGGGUGGAGCCUGCGGCGUAAUUUGACCCAACACGGGGAAACUCAUCCGGUCCGGACACCGUAAGGAUUGACAGAUUGAGAGCUCUUUCUUGAUUUGGUGGGCAGUGGUGCAUGGCCGUUCUUAGUUGGUGGAGUGAUUUGUCUGGUUUACUCCGAUAACGAACGAGACUCUAGCCUACUAACUAGUUAUGCGAUCUUCUUGUCGUAUUAACUUCUUAGAGGGACAAGCGGUGCUCAGCCGCAUGAAAAAGAGCAAUAACAGGUCUGUGAUGCCCUUCGAUGUUCGGAGCUGCACGCGCGCUACACUGUAGAAUGCAACGUGCUAGCUUGCCUCGCUCGCAAGAGUGGGGUAAUCGGUUGAAAUUUCUACGUGAUUGGGAUAGGGACUUGUAAUUAUUUCCCUUGAACGAGGAAUCCCUAGUAAGUGCAGGUCAUCAGCUUGUGCUGAUUACGUCCCUGCCCUUUGUACACACCGCCCGUCGCUGCCCGGAACUGAGCCAUUUCGAGAAAAAUGGGGACUGAUUGCUUGUGAGCACGCAAGUGCUUCUUGCAGUCGGAAACCAUCU